UCGACUAGCAUGCAGUCGAGAGGGGUAAGCCCUCGGCGAACUGCUCAGUAACACGUGUAUAACCUGACCUAGGGUGGAGGAUAACCCCGGGAAACUGGGGAUAAUACUCCAUAGGCUACGGAAGCUGGAAUGCUCUGUAACCCAAAGCUCCGGCGCCCUAGGAUGGGUCUGCGGCCGAUUAGGUUGUUGUUGGGGUAACGGCCCAACAAGCCGAUCAUCGGUACGGGUUGUGGGAGCAAGAGCCCGGAGAUGGAUUCUGAGACAUGAAUCCAGGCCCUACGGGGCGCAGCAGGCGCGAAAACUUUACAAUGCGGGAAACCGUGAUAAGGGGACCCCGAGUGCCUGUACACGCAGGCUGUUCAGGUGUUUAAAACGCAUCUGGAGA
Molecule: ribosomal RNA, 385 nt
Filed under: uncultured methanogenic archaeon
Lineage: Archaea; Methanobacteriati; Methanobacteriota
Description: bacterial SSU rRNA
Rfam family: Archaeal small subunit ribosomal RNA
Source: RNAcentral